CACAUGCAAGUCGAGCGCACCCUUCGGGGCGAGCGGCGGACGGGUUAGUAACGCGUGGGAACGUACCCUUGUCUACGGAAUAGCCUUUGGAAACGAAGAGUAAUACCGUAUACGCCCUUCGGGGGAAAGAUUUAUCGGACAAGGGUCGGCCCGCGUUAGAUUAGAUAGUUGGUGGGGUAAUGGCCUACCAAGUCUACGAUCUAUAGCUGGUUUUAGAGGAUGAUCAGCAACACUGGGACUGAGACACGGCCCAG
This 254-nucleotide ribosomal RNA is filed under the name uncultured bacterium. RNAcentral's name for it is "partial 16S ribosomal RNA". It matches the Rfam family "Bacterial small subunit ribosomal RNA", at positions 52 to 334 of the family's 1533-position model. The record is from RNAcentral.